Molecule: ribosomal RNA, 492 nt
Filed under: uncultured bacterium
Lineage: Bacteria
Description: partial 16S ribosomal RNA
Rfam family: Bacterial small subunit ribosomal RNA
Source: RNAcentral
AGUGAACGCUGGCGGUAGGCCUAACACAUGCAAGUCGAACGGCAGCACAGUAAGAGCUUGCUCUUACGGGUGGCGAGUGGCGGACGGGUGAGGAAUACAUCGGAAUCUACUUUUUCGUGGGGGAUAACGUAGGGAAACUUACGCUAAUACCGCAUACGACCUACGGGUGAAAGCAGGGGAUCUUCGGACCUUGCGCGAUUGAAUUAGCCGAUGUCGGAUUAGCUAGUUGGCGGGGUAAAGGCCCACCAAGGCGACGAUCCGUAGCUGGUAUGAGAGGAUGAUCAGCCACACUGGAACUGAGACACGGUCCAGACUCCUAAGGGAGGCAGCAGUGGGGAAUAUUGGACAAUGGGCGCAAGCCUGAUCCAGCCAUACCGCGUGGGUGAAGAAGGCCUUCGGGUUGUAAAGCCCUUUUGUUGGGAAAGAAAAGCAGCAGGUUAAUACCCCGCUGUUCUGACGGUACCCAAAGAAGAAGCACCGGCUAACUUCGUG